CUACGGGUCGCACCAGUGAGGAAUAUUGCACAAUGGGGGAAACCCUGAUGCAGCAACGCCGCGUGGAGGAUGACGCAUUUCGGUGUGUAAACUCCUUUUAUAUGUCAAGAAAAUGACGGUAGCAUAUGAAUAAGCACCGGCUAACUCCGUGCCAGCAGCCGCGGUAAUACGGAGGGUGCAAGCGUUACUCGGAAUCACUGGGCGUAAAGGACGCGUAGGCUGGUUUGUAAGUCAGGUGUGAAAUCCUACAGCUUAACUGUAGAACUGCACUUGAAACUACCAACCUAGAGUAUGGGAGGGGGAGAUGGAAUUAGUGGUGUAGGGGUAAAAUCCGUAGAUAUCACUAGGAAUACCGAAAGCGAAGGCGAUCUCCUGGAACAUAACUGACGCUAAGGCGUGAAAGCGUGGGGAGCAAACAGGAUUAGAUACCCGUGUAGUC
Molecule: ribosomal RNA, 439 nt
Filed under: uncultured bacterium
Lineage: Bacteria
Description: partial 16S ribosomal RNA
Rfam family: Bacterial small subunit ribosomal RNA
Source: RNAcentral